This is a non-coding RNA of Marchantia polymorpha subsp. ruderalis, 205 nucleotides long. The record is from the annotation of a GenBank genome assembly. Lineage: Eukaryota; Viridiplantae; Streptophyta; Marchantiopsida; Marchantiales; Marchantiaceae.
UGUAAUACGUCUCAAGGUUGGCGUGAUGUCUUAAAGUUUUCAUUGGAGAACCAAAGGGAUUGCAAUUAAUGUGUGGUUAUCUUGAAGAAUCAUACAUUGUUUACAAUGCUUUUAGUUCUCCACUGGAUAUUACAAAACAUUACAAUGAGAAUUGCAUGACCAAAACCUUUGAAACAAACUUAAGAGCAUUAAAAUCAAGUAUUCA